Molecule: ribosomal RNA, 253 nt
Filed under: uncultured bacterium
Lineage: Bacteria
Description: partial 16S ribosomal RNA
Rfam family: Bacterial small subunit ribosomal RNA
Source: RNAcentral
GACAUAGGUGGCGAACGUUAUCCGGAUUUAUUGGGCGUAAAGAGCGUGUAGGCGGCCAGGUAGGUCUGCUGUGAAAACUCGAGGCUUAACCUCGAGCUGUCGGCGGAAACCAUCUGGCUAGAGUCCGGAAGAGGAGAAUGGAAUUCCCGGUGUAGCGGUGAAAUGCGCAGAUAUCGGGAAGAACACCCGUGGCGAAGGCGGUUCUCUGGGACGGUACUGACGCUGAGACGCGAAAGCGUGGGGAGCGAACAGG